RNAcentral lists this microRNA precursor (123 nucleotides) under Fragaria vesca subsp. vesca. RNAcentral describes it as "Fragaria vesca miR11285 stem-loop (fve-MIR11285)". The record is from miRBase by way of RNAcentral. Lineage: Eukaryota; Viridiplantae; Streptophyta; Magnoliopsida; Rosales; Rosaceae.
ACGAUUCAUUUCAUUAGUCUAUUCAAAGAGAUGACUGUUGAAGAGGAAGAGUCUUAGAGAAAACUCUCAGAUUCUUUCUCGACGUUCAGUCUCUCUUUGUAUAGACUAGUGAAUUGGAAUCGU